This 497-nucleotide ribosomal RNA is filed under the name uncultured bacterium. Its description in RNAcentral is "partial 16S ribosomal RNA". It matches the Rfam family "Bacterial small subunit ribosomal RNA", at positions 28 to 507 of the family's 1533-position model. The record is from RNAcentral.
GAUGAACGCUGGCGGCGUGCCUAAUACAUGCAAGUCGAGCGAACGGACGAGAAGCUUGCUUCUCUGAUGUUAGCGGCGGACGGGUGAGUAACACGUGGAUACCCUACCUAUAAGACUGGGAUAACUUCGGGAAACCGGAUCUAAUACCGGAUAAUAUUUUGAACCGCAUGGUUCAAAAGUGAAAGACGGUCUUGCUGUCACUUAUAGAUGGAUCCGCGCUGCAUUAGCUAGUUGGUAAGGUAACGGCUUACCAAGGCAACGAUGCAUAGCCGACCUGAGAGGGUGAUAGGCCACAGUGGAACGGAGACACGGUCAAGACUCCUACGGGACGCAGCAGUAGGGAAUCUUCCGCAAUGGGCGAAAGCCUGACGGAGCAACGCCGAGUGAGUGAUGAAGGUCUUCGGAUCGUAAAACUCUGUUAUUAGGGAAGAACAUAUGUGUAAGUAACUGUGCACAUCUUGACGGUACCUAAUCAGAAAGCCACGGCUAACUACGUG